This 408-nucleotide ribosomal RNA is filed under the name uncultured bacterium. Its description in RNAcentral is "partial 16S ribosomal RNA". It matches the Rfam family "Bacterial small subunit ribosomal RNA", at positions 338 to 743 of the family's 1533-position model. The record is from RNAcentral.
CCUACGGGAGGCAGCAGUGAGGAAUAUUGGUCAAUGGACGAGAGUCUGAACCAGCCAAGUAGCGUGAAGGAUGAAUGCCCUAUGGGUUGUAAACUUCUUUUAUAUGGGAAUAAAAUGAGCCACGUGUGGGAGUUUGUAUGUACUAUAUGAAUAAGCAUCGGCUAACUCCGUGCCAGCAGCCGCGGUAAUACGGAGGAUCCGAGCGUUAUCCGGAUUUAGUGGGUGUAAAGGGUGCGUAGGUGGAUUGUUAAGUCAGUUGUGAAAGUUUGCGGCUCAACCGUAAAAUGGCAGUUGAAACGUGCAGGCUUGAGGACAGUAGAGGUAGGCGGAAUUCGUGGUGUAGCGGUGAAAUGCUUAGAUAUCACGAAGAACUCCGGUUGCGAAGGCAGCUUACUGGACUGCGACUGA